UUAACCCUUGUGGAGGAGGACGCCGAAGGUGGGGCUAAUGACUGGGGUGAAGUCGUAACAAGGUAGCCGUACCGGAAGGUGCGGCUGGAUCACCUCCUAACAGGGAGACAACAAAAUGUUUAAUAUUAUUAUUUUGUCACCUUAGGUCGAUCGGUAUCUCACAUUCUUAAUUUAUUAAGGAUUUUAUUUCCUAAGUUUUUUCUAGGUCACACCCAUUACUUUUCCUGGGCCAUUAGCUCAGGUGGUUAGAGCGCACCCCUGAUAAGGGUGAGGUCCCUGGUUCAAGUCCAGGAUGGCCCAUAUCUCUAUGUUGGGGGUAUAGCUCAGUUGGUAGAGCGCCUGCUUUGCAAGCAGGAUGUCAGCGGUUCGAGUCCGCUUACCUCCACUGAUUACCACCUCUUCCAUAAUUAUUAAGGAAAUGUUUUGAGUAGUGAUCAAAUUCUGAACGAAUCUAGCUUCCUAAUGAAUUCAUUAAGAUGCUGGACUCAUUGAAUUAUUUUCAUUGUUUUCAGAGAACCUUGACAACUGCAUAGAUUAUUUUUAAAGACAAUAAGCAUCUUUAUGAUGCAGAUUUAUUAUUUGUGCGAAUGCAUUAAUAACAAUUCUAUUAAGCUGAUGCUUCAAUUAUGAAGUUAUUGGUCAAGCUACAAAGGGCUCACGGAGGAUACCUAGGCACACAGAGGCGAUGAG
Molecule: unclassified non-coding RNA, 690 nt
Filed under: uncultured Prochlorococcus sp.
Lineage: Bacteria; Bacillati; Cyanobacteriota; Cyanophyceae; Synechococcales; Prochlorococcaceae
Description: partial may contain 16S ribosomal RNA, 16S-23S ribosomal RNA intergenic spacer, and 23S ribosomal RNA
Rfam family: Bacterial small subunit ribosomal RNA (bases 1-100)
Source: RNAcentral